This 492-nucleotide ribosomal RNA is filed under the name uncultured bacterium. RNAcentral's name for it is "partial 16S ribosomal RNA". It matches the Rfam family "Bacterial small subunit ribosomal RNA", at positions 29 to 507 of the family's 1533-position model. The record is from RNAcentral.
AGUGAACGCUGGCGGUAGGCCUAACACAUGCAAGUCGAACGGCAGCACAGUAAGAGCUUGCUCUUACGGGUGGCGAGUGGCGGACGGGUGAGGAAUACAUCGGAAUCUACUUUUUCGUGGGGGAUAACGUAGGGAAACUUCCGCUAAUACCGCAUACGACCUACGGGUGAAAGCAGGGGAUCUUCGGACCUUGCGCGAUUGAAUGAGCCGAUGCCGGAUUAGCUAGUUGGCGGGGUAAAGGCCCACCAAGGCGACGAUCCGUAGCUGGUCUGAGAGGAUGAUCAGCCACACUGGAACUGAGACACGGUCCAGACUCCUACGGGAGGCAGCAGUGGGGAAUAUUGGACAAUGGGCGCAAGCCUGAUCCAGCCAUACCGCGUGGGUGAAGAAGGCCUUCGGGUUGUAAAGCCCUUUUGUUGGGAAAGAAAAGCAGCAGGUUAAUACCCCGCUGUUCUGACGGUACCCAAAGAAUAAGCACCGGCUAACUUCGUG